GCGCCCGUAGCUCAAUUGGAUAGAGCAUCUGCCUUCGGAGCAGAGGGUUGCAGGUUCAAGUCCUGCCGGGCGCGC
RNAcentral lists this transfer RNA (75 nucleotides) under Candidatus Omnitrophica bacterium ADurb.Bin292. RNAcentral describes it as "tRNA-Arg". It matches the Rfam family "tRNA". Rfam says of the family: Transfer RNA (tRNA) molecules are approximately 80 nucleotides in length. Their secondary structure includes four short double-helical elements and three loops (D, anti-codon, and T loops). Lineage: Bacteria; Pseudomonadati; Candidatus Omnitrophota. The record is from RNAcentral.